Molecule: long non-coding RNA, 5263 nt
Filed under: Sus scrofa (pig)
Lineage: Eukaryota; Metazoa; Chordata; Mammalia; Artiodactyla; Suidae
Description: lncRNA (ENSSSCG00000062266.1)
Source: RNAcentral
AAAAAAAAAAAAGAAAGAAAGAAAAAGAAAAGGAAAGAAAGCCCUAUAGAACAAAUAUCAGCAGUAUAUGGCAAUGGUUAAUUAACUAUUCUGCAGUCUGUGGCUCUGAAUUCUAGUUCUGGUUCUCUACUGACCAUGGGCAGGUUACUUAACCACCCUGCCUUCAAUUUCUCACCCAUAAAGUGGGGAUGAUAAUAGUAUCUAUCUCAUAAGAUUGCUAUGGAUUAAUUUGCGUGUUAUUCAUAUAAAGUACUCAGCCCAGCCCAGGGACAUAGUAAGCUCUGAAAAAAUGAGAGCUAUUAUUAUAAUUAGCUCAAAGCAGAGCAGAACUUUGUAGACAUAUUUUGAUGGCCUGACUGAAAUGGGAUUUAGCCUGGAGGAAGCAGAACCAAUUAGGAUCAGAUAAUUCAUCAGAAUUCCUUCUAAAUGGAUGUGUGUAUAUGUAGAAAUGAAUCAUUUUGUUGUUUAGGAGAAAUGAUCAAAGCACUGUAAAUCAACUAUACAUUAAUAAAACAUUUUUUAAAUAAAUUAAAAAAUUUUUAAAAAUUCCUUCUAGAUUUGUAGUUCCAGAUUUUCUCUUGCCUUGGUCCUUUCUCCAAAUAAGAAAAAUUUGGGGUUCUUUGAAAUAAGGAGAAUGGGUAUAUUUUCAAGGAUAAGGUACAGUUUAGGGAAGCUCUCUGAAGGAAGAGUUUUCAGGGCUUGGCUCCUGCUUGGCUAAAUGUUUUAAAGAACUUGAAAGCUGAUGAAGAGCUGUCAUUCAUCUCCAGGGAGGGCUGGGUAAGAGGAAGUGGAACCCAAUGGCAAUUGAAGCACUUCCCGCUAGACAGGAAGAAAUUCCCGGAAGCAAUUUAGUUUCCACAGGAGGGCAGGUGAUAGCCUUCCAGGAAAAAAAAUUAAUGAACUUUGUUGGGGUAUAAUUUUUUCUUUUUUCUUUUUUUGGCCACAACCAUGGCAUGCAUAAGUUCCUGGGCCAAGGUUCAAAUCCUCAUCACAGCCAAUACCAUAGCCCCAGUGGUGACAACCUUAACCUACUGAGCCACCAGGGAGCUCUGAGAUAUAAUUUACAAACAGCAACUUCAUUCACUUAUUGAAUGGUGUUCGAUGAGUUGUAACACAUAACAUGAAUACUUCAUGUAACUACUAUCACAAUCAAGAUAUAACACAUUUCUGUUGGUCCAAAAGUUUUCCUCAUUCCUUUUUAGAGCCAGCUUCCCUAACCUAACUCUUGGGUCCCGGGACAUCACUGAUCUGCUUUCUAUCAUCAUUUUGCCUAUCGUGGGAUUUUGUAUGAGUGGAGUCUCACAGUAUGUACGCUUCUGUGUUUGGUGUCUUUUACUCAUCCAUGUUGUUAUAUACACCUGUCGUUUGUUCGUUUUUUAAACUGAGUUAUGUUCUAUUGUAUAGAUAUACCACAACCUCUUUCAUCUACCUACUCACAUGUAGAUGAACAUUUGGGUUGUUUCCAGGUUGUGAUCAUGAUAAAGUUACAUGUAUAUACAAGUCUUCAUGUGUAUGUUUUCCAAAAUGGAUGUCCCAUUUUACAUUCCCAGCAAGCAGCGUGUGAGAGUUCUAGUUGCUCCAGCCUCACCAACAGCUGGUAUUUGCAUUAGGUAUUAUAACAGCCUCCUAAAAGUGUCCAUGUUCUAAUCCCCCAAGUCUGUGUAUAUGUCGCUGGGGCUGGCAAAAGAGACAUCACAGCUAUGACUAAGUCAAGGAUCUUGAGAUGGAAAGAUUAUUCUGGACUGUCUAAGCAGGCUGGUGUAAAUCAUAAGACUCUUUAAAAGAUGAAAUACAGGCAGAAGCAUGAACUGGCAGCUAUGGAAGGAGAGGUAACACAUUUGGUUGUUUUAUCUUAAACACAUGGUUUAUCCCACUCGUCACUGGUUGAACUGAGCCUUUAAACCUGGUUUGCCUAGUUUAUAUGUGCAUUUACUCUGCUGCUCAGCCUCCUCAGUGCAAGACACUAUUAGGACCCCUCGCAACAGAGAGAUGCUUGCAGGAUUUGCUGGAUGACAUUGGGAACCUGGGGAGAGGGUGAUACAAGGAGCUGGGAUGGGAGUUCCAAAGCCAAACUUUGCCUUCUUCUUCUUCUUUUUUUUUUUUUUUUUUUGUUUUUUUUUUGUUCUCUUGGGGCCACAACCACAACAUAUGGAAGUUCCUAGGCUAGGGGUCAGAGCUACUACUGCCGGCCUGCACCACAGCCACAACAAAGCCAGAUCUCAGCCACAUCUGCAACCUACAUCACAGCUCAGGGCAACGCCAGAUCCUUAACCCACUGAGCAGGGCCAGGGAUGGAACCCACAUCCUCAUGUAUACUAGUGGGGUUCAUUACCACUGAGCCACAACAGGCACUCCCCAAACAUUGCCCUUUAAACAAGUUUGGCAGCUUUCAGAGAGAAGAUUUGUGAUUCUAUCCUCAUGGACCACAGAAGUUCCUUAGCCCUUUGUCUAUUAUGGGACCAUCCUAUUUUUCUUAUCUUGUAAUCCCUAGUACCCAGUCCAGAGCCUGGUGAAUGUGCAGUGCCUCAUAACUGCUUGUUGAAUUGCAUUGAAUACCAACCAUCCUAGCCCAGAAAGACCUCAAGGGAUCUGAGUUAGAGCAAAGCUCAGAAAUAAUGCAGCCCAGACUCCUGCUGGAUGCAGGAAUUCCCUUCCAUUGUAAAUCAGAGUGCUGUGAUUGGGAGCAGAGGAUCUGGAGACAGACUUCCUGGAUUUGAGUCCUCGCUCCUGUUAUUCAAAUUCUAUAAAUAUGGGCUGAUUACUUAAUUUCUGUGUGUCUCAAUACUUUAUAGGAAUAUUGUAAGAUUUUUAACAAGAUAACAUAUCGAAAUUGUUUAAAGCAAUGGACUGGUGCUAGGAAGUGUUCGGUGAGUGCUGACCGUCAUUAUUAUCAGUUGUUAUCAUCAAUGGCAGGAAUACAUUGAGGCGAACGUAUCCUCUCGUAAUUUGCAUGCACUGAUCCCAGACCUGUCUUCACAUGAAACCUUUCAGAGAGCCAAAGACAGCUAUGAGGUGCCUCCAGAGCUUUCUCUGAAGUUACGCACCCACACUUCUCUCCAGUCAUGUUUUCUCAUGCGACAGGAUCUUCAGAUCUUUUUUCCAUUUUCUUACAGGUUUCUAGUUGCACCUGGAAGUGCCCCAUUUGAACACAGUUGUUCAGGAGGAGGGCUGCGUGGGCUUAGUCCUCCAAUCUAGGCACUAUUCCAACUCAAAGCUAAGUGCCUGGGUCUCUGGGUGGAGAUGGGGGUUGUGAACUGGUUGCUUACCCAGUUGUCAUCUCGUUACACUCAGGCACCCGUCCAUCCUGAAUCUCAACUCUUUUAACUGAGGUUAGAGUGUGAGGUUCUGUGGGGUUUAACUCCUCCUUCCUUCACCCGUGGCCACUCCAGCACUCUGGGAGGGGAACAAAGUGGGCAGGCCGUCUUGAGUUUCUUCUAGUGCCACAAAAGCCAACUUCGAUGUUUGAGGCAGAGUAACGGCCAUGGACAAGCACUGGGAAAUCCCUUAGACCCUAUAUCGCAGCUUCCCACACAGUGAACCCAGGGAGACCUGGCCUGACCUUCUAGCAAGAAGAAUUUUAGGCAGAGAGAACUGCAUUCCGAAUUGCAGUUUUAAGAGUCUGGCCUUGAUGUCUAGACACUCACUGUUCACGGUGUUAACCCCAAACUGCCCAUUCCUUCCAUCCUGCCUCCCUACUGCUGAUUCCAGCUUAUCUCUCCAACCUCAGCUCUCCCCAAGUCCUAAAAACCUACACUUAUUCAUUUGCUUCUCUCCAUAUAUUUUAAACUCUACUACCAGACUCCCCUUUGGAUAGGAGGCUCCAUCAAAAAUGCUAACAUUCACCAAGCAUUUACUAUUUACUAGGCUAAGUGCUGUAUAUGAAAUAUAUCAUUUAAACCUCAUAAUGAUCCCAUGAGGUAGCUAAGGUUCCUGGCUCCAUUUCACAAGUAAAGAAACUAGGGCUUAAGAGGUUAAAUGUCUUGUCCAAGAUCAACUAGCUGGUAGUGGUGGAAUUUGGGUUGGUACCCAGUACCUCUGACUCUAGAGUGAUAAUGCCUCUUCCCAUAGGAACCCUCUAGUAAAUAAUAAUCCCCUCCCACUCGGUAUCUCUGGAUUCAAACAGGGAAAGAGAACCACUAUGCACUAUAGACAGUGGGUUUAUUACAAAUCUUAGACCUCACCUAAUUACAGGAGGAACAGAGAACAUGAAGGUAUAGGUGGGGAGUUGAAGGAUCAAUGGCAGAGUCAGUGACACCGCUGAGCACAUCCCACAGCAGGAGUGAAGCCAUAAAGGAAAGCUCGUGGGAGGUCCGAGCCUCUGGUGAGGGGCCUAGACCCCAGGCUGCAGUUGGUCAGCAGGGUCAGGAGGUGGGAGAAGAGCAGACUGUGGAGCUGGUGCCAUCAUGGACCAACUGGAAUCUGUAGCACUUCUUCAUUUGUCACCACGUUUAAUUACAGUGACCUUCAGAGGUCAUAAUGCUGCCUCACUUCAACUUUCUAAAGCUCAUGCACUUUGGUGCAACUCUAACCCAAAACCAAAACGAGAAGGGAGUUCUGGGAAGCACACUUCUGGGUUAACCAAGCUGACCGUGCAAACCACCCCGUGUGGCAAAUCAUGCAAACCUCUUCCCGUGCAUUACCCUCAAAAGCAGCUGGUGCACCCAUCCGUGGGAGGGCCCAGACGUCACCCCGGAGUCUGCAAGUGCUAAAAACGCUCAUCCGAUUCAAUCUUGCAUUGCCUUCAGUUGUAAUUCAGAGACUUAGUAUAUGACUAAUGCUCAUUUACUUUCUUUUUCUUAUGUCAGAAGAUUAGAGUUUAUCAUUUCAGUUUUGACCACUGGUCUAAAAUGUAAAAGAGAACCAACAAGUUAACUUAAAAAAACAAACAAACAAAAAAACCCCAAACCUCUUGGAGUUCCUGUUGUGGCUCAGCAGAAAUGAAUCUGACUGGUAUCCAUUAGGACGCAGAUUCAAUUCCUGGCCUUGCUCAGUGGAUUAAGGAUACUGUGUUGCCAUGAGCUGUGGUGUAGGUUACAGAAGCGGCUCGGAUCUGCUGUUUCUGUGGCUGUGGCAUGUAGGCCCACAGCUAUAGCUCUGAUUCAACCCCUAGCCUGGGAACCUCCAUAUGCUGCGGGUGUGGCCCCAAAGUGAAAAAAACAAAACUCUUUAUAGACAGGCGAGGUGAUGAAUUUUUCAAGCAUUAGAGUGUAGAAGACAAUUAGCCCUGGGUCUGGAUUCCAUUUAAAACAAAAGGAAAUUAAGU